This is a non-coding RNA of Schistosoma mattheei, 78 nucleotides long. The record is from Rfam. Lineage: Eukaryota; Metazoa; Platyhelminthes; Trematoda; Strigeidida; Schistosomatidae.
AGCAUUACGAAUCCGUGCUGAGGUUUCGUCCGAUACCAACCCAUUAGGGCUGAUCAGACUUCCAAGAUAUGUGAAGUU